GCGGGCGGCAGCUACACAUGCAAGUCGAGCGAGAUCUUCGGAUCUAGCGGCGGACGGGUGAGUAACGCGUGGGAACGUACCCUCUUCUGCGGGAUAGCCACUGGAAACGGUGAGUAAUACCGCAUACGCCCUUCGGGGGAAAGAUUUAUCGGAGGAGGAUCGGCCCGCGUUGGAUUAGGUAGUUGGUGGGGUAAUGGCCUACCAAGCCUACGAUCCAUAGCUGGUUUUAGAGGAUGAUCAGCCACACUGGGACUGAGACACGGCCCAGACUCCUACGGGAGGCAGCAGUGGGGAAUCUUAGACAAUGGGCGCAAGCCUGAUCUAGCCAUGCCGCGUGAGUGACGAAGGCCUUAGGGUCGUAAAGCUCUUUCGCCUGUGAUGAUAAUGACAGUAGCAGGUAAAGAAACCCCGGCUAACUCCGUGCCAGCAGCCGCGGUAAUACGGAGGGGGUUAGCGUUGUUCGGAAUUACUGGGCGUAAAGCGCACGUAGGCGGAUUGGAAAGUAUGGGGUGAAAUCCCAGGGCUCAACCCUGGAACGGCCUCAUAAACUUCCAGUCUGGAGUUCGAGAGAGGUGAGUGGAAUUCCGAGUGUAGAGGUGAAAUUCGUAGAUAUUCGGAGGAACACCAGUGGCGAAGGCGGCUCACUGGCUCGAUACUGACGCUGAGGUGCGAAAGUGUGGGGAGCAAACAGGAUUAGAUACCCUG
Molecule: ribosomal RNA, 705 nt
Filed under: Roseovarius sp.
Lineage: Bacteria; Pseudomonadati; Pseudomonadota; Alphaproteobacteria; Rhodobacterales; Roseobacteraceae
Description: bacterial SSU rRNA
Rfam family: Bacterial small subunit ribosomal RNA
Source: RNAcentral